Meriones unguiculatus (Mongolian gerbil) is the source of this 2830-nucleotide long non-coding RNA. RefSeq lists it as uncharacterized. The transcript has 5 exons. The record is from RefSeq and is a predicted model, not a curated record. Lineage: Eukaryota; Metazoa; Chordata; Mammalia; Rodentia; Muridae.
AAGCCCUACUUCUGAAAAUAUAGCAACAGUUGCUAUGUGGAUUCUGGAAAUGAGGGAGGUCAGUGUGAGCAUUUGGGAAGAGAGCAGAAUGCAAAGCAUUUUUCUUUUAGAGGAAAUUGCAAGCUGAGAAGAAGGCAGCAACCCUUGACAACUGUAUUGAAAUUAACUCCUUCAUAUUUCAUGUCUACAAAGUAACAGCAGUCACAUAAAAAUCGAUGACAAUGGUGUCUUCAAUGCCAUGAUUCUCCUGAUGCUUGUACCUGACAGUUCCUGGGUGCUUCUACAGCAUUUUGGCUGCUAAAAAUCAAGUACUCCAGGAGACCAAGAAAGUGCAGUAAGGAUGUAUUCAGCAAUGAACUUUGAAUUGACAUCCAGAAGAACUUUUAACCUUCAGAUGAGUUCUGUUCCAAGUCUUGUUUCAUCACUGGCAAUCUUAUCUGCAUAUGACGUCUUCAGCUAUGGCAUGGGAAACAUACAUUCAAGGCAUAGAUGACGUAAAACUGACAAUAACAUCUCUGAUUCCCACCAAAUAAUUGCCAAGACACUAACCACGGACACCGGGGCAAUGGUGUAACGAUUUGGCUGGAGAGAGAUGCCACGAAUUGAAGGAAAGGACAUAAAAGUUUUAAAAGAGGAAACAGGAAGAUAAUGGACAACACGAGUGAAUCUAAAUCCGUCUCAAGGGAGUUUCCUGAGAUCGUGGGGAGCAGCCACGUUCUGUUCCUAGAUUUACUACUGAGCGUCCGCUGUAAACAGUUGGCUGCCCCAGACCUUAUUUCCAGACAAGAAUUCCAGGACCGAAGGUGCAGGUCGCCUGCUCAGCCCCAGUCAUUUCACGUCAAUCCUUAAGGCCACCGCCUUCACCUGCUGCUCUCUCACUGCGGCUGGAUCUACACCCUUAGACUGGAUUCCCCCAGAUGGCAAUGAUCUGGAUUCCUUUUUUGACCAAGACCUAUUACUGACUCCUAAGGAGAUGGUUUACUUGGAAUAUCCAAAGUUUUCUGAACUCAUUCCAUAGAGGUUUCUCCUGAAACCUUGGCUUGAGCCCGGAUCUGUUCCCCCUUCACAGACGUCCAUAAAGUUCUGGCCGGUUUCUCCUUUCGGUGCUCAGAGUGAAGCGAGACACCUGCCUAUGUGAGAUUUUUCUCCAGAUUUUAUUUUAGGAAUGAUAUGGUCCCGAGUAAGCCCCCUGGCUCAUCAAGUUCAUCAGAGUAAAAAUCAGACUUUCCAGGUCACACCGCUGUGGGUCACCAUCUUGGCACGCACCUGCUCUGGAUCGGAGACUCUUCCUAUCUUCCCCAGGUGUACCAGAACGCCUUGUGGAGACUCCCUCUGCCUGUGCACCUCUGUCUCUGUUCCUGUACGUCCCUAAAGAAAAGGUGGAUGGAGCCAAACCUUAACUUCCUGCACGUCCUCUUUUCCUCACAUCCUUAACAUCCAGGUCACAUACGCUGUAGCCUGAAGCCUGUUUAAGGCUUCUCUCAUUCCCCUGCAGAUUCUACCUCUGCAGUUCGUCUCUGAGCCUGACUCUUCUGGUAAUCGUGACAGAUUGCCCACCCUAUAACUCUCCUCAAUUAUUCCCUUCCUUCUUAGUGGUUCUGUUUUUUUCAGACGAUAACAUGUACACACACACACACACACACACACACACACACACGCACACACGCACACACCUACUUUACAAGAGAUGUUCCUUUCAUUGCCAGAGCAUCUAUCUCUUCACAGUACACAAGGUAGGGAUGAUGAGUCUUUUCACACAACCAAUGGAAAAGCUAAGCCAUAUCCUGGGAACAGGGCAGCUGGGUAAGAGCAGAAACAAGGGCCGAAAGGGAGAUGUGACUUGAUUUGCACCUGAGUCACAAGGGCCUGCAGGAAGAGGAAAAGCCCUUUCUUACGGCCAGUCCCUCUUGUGCUCUUAUGAUGACUCCCAUCUUACGUAAUCAAGUAUAUUCUACUUGACCUCCAGCUGUGGUCCAGUUGUCAUCCGGCAACUUUCCAUGCCUGCGAUCACAUGGACAGAACCAGUGGGUAGGUCUCAGGGUGGCUUGGAGGGAUAUAGAGAGCUAAGAAACACCUGGUCUCAGCCCAGAGCAAGAAGGCGGAGGGAUCUCCUAUCUUCUGAGGGUCAAGCUAGCCACAGAAAUUCUCUCCAGUGUCCCCAAGGAGCCCCAAUAUGCAGUCCAGGUAGAAAGGAACUGGGUGGAACUUAUUUUCCACGUCUCACCCCAUAUUUCUGAAGUUUGUGCAACAAACAAAGGUCUUGAAUCAUCUUGAGUACUUUGAACUCCUCAAAGCCUCCUUAAUCGCUUCCUGGCUUUGACUCCUAACACUAGGGCAGGUUUUCAAAGGCAGAUAAGAUACAAGUUGUAAUAUGGACGGGCGAGAGCUGCACGUGUAGCAGCGCCGAAGCCACCCAGAGCAUAAGGGCACGGGUGUCAGGCCAUCCAUCAGCAUGACGCUGGCUGACGAUGAAGGCUGUGGUCGCCGGUACCAUAGCAUCAGGGAUGGAGUCAGCUGUGCGACCGGAUUACAGCCUCUCCGUCACCCCCAGCCUUCUGGGAAAAAAGUCUCCCUGCAGAAAGUGGUUGAUAUGAACAAUCUUGUCCAUAUCAACUCCAUUCUCCAAAAAGCAAAAUGUUGGGGCUGGAGAGAUGGCUCAGUGGUUAAGAACACUGGCUGCUCUUCCAAAGGUCCUGAGUUCAAUUCCCAGCAACCACAUGGUGGCUCACAACCAUCUAUAAUGAGAUAUGGUGCCCUCUUCUAGCCUGCAGUCACACAUACAGGCAAAAUACUGUAUAAAUAAAUAAUAAAUAAAUCUUUAAAAGCAAAA